UACCCUUGGAACUAAGCAUAUCAAUAAGCGGAGGAAAAGAAACUAACAAGGAUUCCCCUAGUAACUGCGAGUGAAGCGGGAAAAGCUCAAAUUUAAAAUCUGGCAGUCUCUGGCUGUCCGAGUUGUAAUCUAGAGAAGUAAUGCCCGUGCUGGACCGUGUAUAAGUCUCCUGGGAUGGGGCGUCAUAGAGGGUGAGAAUCCCGUCUUUGACACGGACUACCAGUGCAUUGUGGUAUGCUCUCAAAGAGUCGAGUUGUUUGGGAAUGCAGCUCAAAAUGGGUGGUAAAUUCCAUCUAAAGCUAAAUAUUGGCGAGAGACCGAUAGCGAACAAGUACCGUGAGGGAAAGAUGAAAAGAACUUUGGAAAGAGAGUUAAACAGUACGUGAAAUUGCUGAAAGGGAAACGCUUGAAGUCAGUCGCGUUGGCCGGGAAUCAGCCUUGCUUUUGCUUGGUGUACUUUCUGGUUGACGGGUCAGCAUCAAUUUUGACCGCUGGAAAAAGGCCUGGGGAAUGUGGCAGCUUCGGCUGUGUUAUAGCCCCUAGUCGCAUACAGUGGCUGGGAUUGAGGAACUCAGCACGCCGCAAGGCCGGGUUUCGACCACGUUCGUGCUUAGGAUGCUGGCAUAAUGGCUUUAAGCGACCCGUCUUGAAACACGGACCAAGGAGUCUAACAUGCCUGCGAGUAUUUGGGCGGAAAACCCAAGUGCGUAAUGAAAGUGAAAGUUGAGAUCCCUGUCGUGGGGAGCAUCGACGCCCGGACCAGAACUUUUGGGACGGAUCCGCGGUGGAGCAUGUAUGUUGGGACCCGAAAGAUGGUGAACUAUGCCUGAAUAGGGUGAAGCCAGAGGAAACUCUGGUGGAGGCUCGUAGCGAUUCUGACGUGCAAAUCGAUCGUCAAAUUUGGGUAUAGGGGCGAAAGACUAAUCGAACCAUCUAGUAGCUGGUUCCUGCCGAAUUC
Molecule: ribosomal RNA, 958 nt
Filed under: Agaricus sp.
Lineage: Eukaryota; Fungi; Basidiomycota; Agaricomycetes; Agaricales; Agaricaceae
Description: LSU rRNA
Rfam family: Eukaryotic large subunit ribosomal RNA
Source: RNAcentral